Molecule: ribosomal RNA, 190 nt
Filed under: uncultured bacterium
Lineage: Bacteria
Description: partial 16S ribosomal RNA
Rfam family: Bacterial small subunit ribosomal RNA
Source: RNAcentral
AACUCGACUACAUGAAGCUGGAAUCGCUAGUAAUCGCAAAUCAGAAUGUUGCGGUGAAUACGUUCCCGGGUCUUGUACACACCGCCCGUCACACCAUGGGAGUCGGAAAUGCCCGAAGUCUGUGACCCAACGAAAGAGGGAGCAGCCGAAGGCAGGUCUGAUAACUGGGGUGAAGUCGUAACAAGGUAAC